RNAcentral lists this ribosomal RNA (2164 nucleotides) under Salmonella enterica. Its description in RNAcentral is "partial 23S ribosomal RNA". It matches the Rfam family "Bacterial large subunit ribosomal RNA". Lineage: Bacteria; Pseudomonadati; Pseudomonadota; Gammaproteobacteria; Enterobacterales; Enterobacteriaceae. The record is from RNAcentral.
CCAGUGGUGAACUCCACAUACGCAUCCUUUGCGGAAGAUGCGGUUAACGGAGCGAAAGCGACGUUCAACCUCAGAAGAAGCAGAGGGGGCUUAGUGGUGGGGUGACUGCGUACCUUUUGUAUAAUGGGUCAGCGACUUAUAUUCUGUAGCAAGGUUAACCGCAUAGGGGAGCCGAAGGGAAACCGAGUCUUAACCGGGCGUUAAGUUGCAGGGUAUAGACCCGAAACCCGGUGAUCUAGCCAUGGGCAGGUUGAAGGUUGGGUAACACUAACUGGAGGACCGAACCGACUAAUGUUGAAAAAUUAGCGGAUGACCUGUGGCUGGGGGUGAAAGGCCAAUCAAACCGGGAGAUAGCUGGUUCUCCCCGAAAGCUAUUUAGGUAGCGCCUCGUGAAUUCAUCUCCGGGGGUAGAGCACUGUUUCGGCUAGGGGGCCAUCCCGGCUUACCAACCCGAUGCAAACUGCGAAUACCGGAGAAUGUUAUCACGGGAGACACACGGCGGGUGCUAACGUCCGUCGUGAAGAGGGAAACAACCCAGACCGCCAGCUAAGGUCCCAAAGUCAUGGUUAAGUGGGAAACGAUGUGGGAAGGCCCAGACAGCCAGGAUGUUGGCUUAGAAGCAGCCAUCAUUUAAAGAAAGCGUAAUAGCUCACUGGUCGAGUCGGCCUGCGCGGAAGAUGUAACGGGGCUAAACCAUGCACCGAAGCUGCGGCAGCGACACUGUGUGUUGUUGGGUAGGGGAGCGUUCUGUAAGCCGUUGAAGGUGUGUCGUGAGGCAUGCUGGAGGUAUCAGAAGUGCGAAUGCUGACAUAAGUAACGAUAAAGCGGGUGAAAAGCCCGCUCGCCGGAAGACCAAGGGUUCCUGUCCAACGUUAAUCGGGGCAGGGUGAGUCGACCCCUAAGGCGAGGCCGAAAGGCGUAGUCGAUGGGAAACGGGUUAAUAUUCCCGUACUUGGUGUUACUGCGAAGGGGGGACGGAGAAGGCUAUGUUGGCCGGGCGACGGUAGUCCCGGUUUAAGCGUGUAGGUGUGUGUUCCAGGUAAAUCCGGUUCACUUUAACACUGAGGCGUGAUGACGAGGCACCACGGUGCUGAAGCAACAAAUGCCCUGCUUCCAGGAAAAGCCUCUAAGCAUCAGGUAACAUCAAAUCGUACCCCAAACCGACACAGGUGGUCAGGUAGAGAAUACCAAGGCGCUUGAGAGAACUCGGGUGAAGGAACUAGGCAAAAUGGUGCCGUAACUUCGGGAGAAGGCACGCUGACACGUAGGUGAAGUGAUUUACUCAUGGAGCUGAAGUCAGUCGAAGAUACCAGCUGGCUGCAACUGUUUAUUAAAAACACAGCACUGUGCAAACACGAAAGUGGACGUAUACGGUGUGACGCCUGCCCGGUGCCGGAAGGUUAAUUGAUGGGGUCAGCGCAAGCGAAGCUCCUGAUCGAAGCCCCGGUAAACGGCGGCCGUAACUAUAACGGUCCUAAGGUAGCGAAAUUCCUUGUCGGGUAAGUUCCGACCUGCACGAAUGGCGUAAUGAUGGCCAGGCUGUCUCCACCCGAGACUCAGUGAAAUUGAACUCGCUGUGAAGAUGCAGUGUACCCGCGGCAAGACGGAAAGACCCCGUGAACCUUUACUAUAGCUUGACACUGAACAUUGAGCCUUGAUGUGUAGGAUAGGUGGGAGGCUUUGAAGCGUGGACGCCAGUCUGCGUGGAGCCGACCUUGAAAUACCACCCUUUAAUGUUUGAUGUUCUAACGUGGACCCGUAAUCCGGGUUGCGGACAGUGUCUGGUGGGUAGUUUGACUGGGGCGGUCUCCUCCUAAAGAGUAACGGAGGAGCACGAAGGUUGGCUAAUCCUGGUCGGACAUCAGGAGGUUAGUGCAAUGGCAUAAGCCAGCUUGACUGCGAGCGUGACGGCGCGAGCAGGUGCGAAAGCAGGUCAUAGUGAUCCGGUGGUUCUGAAUGGAAGGGCCAUCGCUCAACGGAUAAAAGGUACUCCGGGGAUAACAGGCUGAUACCGCCCAAGAGUUCAUAUCGACGGCGGUGUUUGGCACCUCGAUGUCGGCUCAUCACAUCCUGGGGCUGAAGUAGGUCCCAAGGGUAUGGCUGUUCGCCAUUUAAAGUGGUACGCGAGCUGGGUUUAGAACGUCGUGAGACAGUUCGGUCCCUA